This 424-nucleotide ribosomal RNA is filed under the name uncultured bacterium. RNAcentral's name for it is "partial 16S ribosomal RNA". It matches the Rfam family "Bacterial small subunit ribosomal RNA", at positions 360 to 776 of the family's 1533-position model. The record is from RNAcentral.
AAUAUUGGACAAUGGGCGAAAGCCUGAUCUAGCCAUGCCGCGUGUGUGAAGAAGGUCUUCGGAUUAUAAAGUACUUUAAGUUGGGAGGAAGGUCAGUAAGUUAAUACCUUGCUGAUUUGACGUUACCGACAGAAUAAGCACCGACUAACACCCUGCCAGCAACCGCGGUAAUACGAAGGGUGCAAGCGUUAUUCGGAAUUACCUGGCGUAAAGCGCACGUAGGUGGUUCGUUAAGUUGGAUGUGAAAGCCCCGGGCUCAACCUGGGAACUGCAUCCAAAACUGGCGAGCUAGAGUACGGUAGAGGGUGGUGGAAUUUCCUGUGUAGCGGUGAAAUGCGUAGAUAUAGGAAGGAACACCAGUGGCGAAGGCGACCACCUGGACUGAUACUGACACUGAGGUGCGAAAGCGUGGGGAGCAAACAGG